Molecule: small nucleolar RNA, 104 nt
Organism: Peromyscus leucopus (white-footed mouse)
Lineage: Eukaryota; Metazoa; Chordata; Mammalia; Rodentia; Cricetidae
Product: small nucleolar RNA U13
Exons: 1
Source: RefSeq, a predicted model, not a curated record
AUGCAUUGGUGACUCAUAAACCCGAGGACUGGCUUUUCACACCAUCUUGUGAGAUGUGCCUCCCUCCAACCUUAUUAGGAUGUUGGUAAAUGACCCAUUUCAUG